GACGAACGCUGGCGGCGUGCUUAACACAUGCAAGUCGAACGGAAAGGCCCUGCUUUUGUGGGGUGCUCGAGUGGCGAACGGGUGAGUAACACGUGAGUAACCUGCCCUUGACUUUGGGAUAACUUCAGGAAACUGGGGCUAAUACCGGAUAGGAGCUCCUGCCGCAUGGUGGGGGUUGGAAAGUUUCGGCGGUUGGGGAUGGACUCGCGGCUUAUCAGCUUGUUGGUGGGGUAGUGGCUUACCAAGGCUUUGACGGGUAGCCGGCCUGAGAGGGUGACCGGCCACAUUGGGACUGAGAUACGGCCCAGACUCCUACGGGAGGCAGCAGUGGGGAAUAUUGCACAAUGGGCGGAAGCCUGAUGCAGCAACGCCGCGUGCGGGAUGACGGCCUUCGGGUUGUAAACCGCUUUCGCCUGUGACGAAGCGUGAGUGACGGUAAUGGGUAAAGAAGCACCGGCUAGCUACGUG
This 468-nucleotide ribosomal RNA is filed under the name uncultured bacterium. RNAcentral's name for it is "partial 16S ribosomal RNA". It matches the Rfam family "Bacterial small subunit ribosomal RNA", at positions 28 to 507 of the family's 1533-position model. The record is from RNAcentral.